This 888-nucleotide long non-coding RNA is filed under the name Homo sapiens (human). RNAcentral's name for it is "non-protein coding lnc-BEX3-2:5". The record is from RNAcentral. Lineage: Eukaryota; Metazoa; Chordata; Mammalia; Primates; Hominidae.
GAGCAGGGUCCCGCCUUCAGGUGUUUGGGACUCAGCUGAGGGUGUGGGUGCCCCGCGGUGGGGGCUGAACCUUCCUGGGGUGUGGAGAGACGAAAGGAGCCCAGAUCCAAGUUCCCUCGUUCCCGCUUUGGCAUAAGUUGCCCUGGCGGUCUCAUGAGAGAGAGAAAGAGCUGGGACCCUCCUCGCCCCAGUGAGUGUGAUGUCUUGCUCCGGGUGUCCUGGGGCAACUUUCUAUACAGGCGGGACGUGGGAGGAUCAGACAGUGUAACAUCAGACAAGGGUGUUGACUCUGCAGCACAGAACCAGUAGUUUGUGGAGAAGAAUGGAGGUGUGGUGUUGAAUCUGCUAGACAGGCUACUGAAGCAAAAGUCAAGAGAUCCAGAUUCCAUCAUGGGGACACUUUAGCUGUUGUAAAAAGGAUUGAGUUCUUGAUUGAUUCCCAGCUUGGUCAUUGGUGUAUAGCAGUGCUACUGAUUUGUUUACAUUCAUUUUGUAACCUGAGACUUUACUGAAUUCGUGUAUCAGAUCUAGGAGCCUUUUGGGUAAGUCUUUUGGGUUUUUUAGGUAUAUGAUCAUAUCAUUGGUGAAUUUCUUCAUCGGGUAAUUGAGCUGAUAUCAGGUGUCUGAAGGAGGCAAGUUUUGAAGAUGUGGGUCAUGAUGGCUGCUGAAGCUUCCACUCCAUAUUUGAAGGUCAGCAGUUCUCAGGAAACCUCUAGCACUUCCAUCCCUGGUGGGAUGUGAUGCCUGUCUCAGUGUAACAUCAGAGAAGGGGUGUACUCUGUGCCCUAGAACUAGGAGCUAACAGAGAAAAACCAAAUGUGAUGUGGAGUCUGCUAGACAGGCUACUGGAGCAAGAGUGAAGCGAUGAAAGUCUCAUCAUUGGGACAU